CACCAUUGUGGAUGCUCUAAAGUUUUAAGCAGUACCACUCUCUCUCGCCACUCUCUCUCGACUCCGGUGAGCGGCCGCCAUGAAUCGCCGCCUCCCUCUGGCGCGACGAGGUCAGCGCCUGUUCGUCCUCCUCCUCUCCUUCCCUUUUGUUAGGGGUGAGCAAACCCAAACCGAACCCGCUAGACCGACCCGGACCGACGGGUUCGGUCCGGACCGGACCGACCCAAUAUGCAUAUACGGUCCGGUCCGGGUCUAUUUUUUAGGACCGAACAUUUAUCGGGUCGGUCCGGGUCUUAACCCGCUCGAACCCGCCGAACCCGGACCGACCCAUACCUUUUAUAAAAUAAUUAUUUAAUUUAUAUAUUUAUAAUAAUAUUACCAAAUAAAAUAAAUUUGAACUAAUAUCCCUAAGUAGAGUGUAGAAUCUGUAACCCCACCCCAAUAAUUUGAUAUAAUAUCUUGAAUAUAUGAGUUCUCAAUUCUUGAGCUAUUCUUUGUUAUUUCAAAUGGAAUUGUGAUUCAGUCUCUCUUAACCACGCUGUAAGCAUAAAUAAUAAAUAUUUGGAUUAGAUUCUUGCUUUGCUAAAUGGCAUGAACCAAGGAAGCUUGAUAGUGUGAGUGUUAUGGGAUAAAUUUUAGAACUAAGGCAACUAAAUAGAGUGUAAAAAAGUAAAUAUAAAAAUUUUAAAUUUCGGUGGGUCGGACCCGGACCGAACCGAACCCGAAGGUUCGGUUCGGUCCGGUCCUGGGUCGGUCCGUUCUUAAUCUUCGGUCCGGGUCGGUCCAAGUUUUUAAAAUUUUCGGUCCGUCAAACCCGGCGGGUCGGUCCGGGUCGGUCCGGGUCCGACCCGCUGCUCACCCCUACCUUUUGUGCCCUAUUUCUUCCCCAAGAACAAAAUCCCCAAUUUCUAGGGUUUUCAGCCUCCCUUUCCUCUCUGAAUUUUGCCCCUCUUGCGAGUCCCGCCACUGCCGCCGCCUCGCACAGCUGCUCCGUGCCUCAAGUAACACCUUUUUUCUCUCUCUCUCUCAAGAUCUAUUUCUCUCUCCCUCUCUCCGCUCUCCCAGUCGAUCUCCAUC
Molecule: long non-coding RNA, 1077 nt
Filed under: Salvia miltiorrhiza (redroot sage)
Lineage: Eukaryota; Viridiplantae; Streptophyta; Magnoliopsida; Lamiales; Lamiaceae
Description: long non-coding RNA (SMIL_LNC005259)
Source: RNAcentral